Non-coding RNA from Podarcis lilfordi (Lilford's wall lizard), 70 nucleotides. The record is from the annotation of a GenBank genome assembly. Lineage: Eukaryota; Metazoa; Chordata; Lepidosauria; Squamata; Lacertidae.
AAGACUGUAGCUUAGCAGUAGAGCUUCUGCCUUGCAUGCAGAAAGUCGAAGGUUUCAAUCUCCAGUUUCU